Molecule: ribosomal RNA, 391 nt
Filed under: uncultured bacterium
Lineage: Bacteria
Description: bacterial SSU rRNA
Rfam family: Bacterial small subunit ribosomal RNA
Source: RNAcentral
GACGAACGCUGGCGGCGUGCUUAACACAUGCAAGUCGAGCGGUAAGGCCCUUUCGGGGGUACACGAGCGGCGAACGGGUGAGUAACACGUGGGUGACCUGCCCUCAGCUCUGGGAUAAGCCCGGGAAACUGGGUCUAAUACCGGAUAUGACUCCAUGACGCAUGUUGUGGGGUGGAAAGCCUUGUGCGGCUGAGGAUGGGCCCGCGGCCUAUCAGCUUGUUGGUGGGGUGAUGGCCACCAAGGCGACGACGGGUAGCCGGCCUGAGAGGGCGACCGGCCACACUGGGACUGAGAUACGGCCCAGACUCCUACGGGAGGCAGCAGUGGGGAAUCUUGCGCAAUGGGCGAAAGCCUGACGCAGCGACGCCGCGUGAGGGAUGACGGCCUGGUU